AGAGUUUGAUCCUGGCUCAGAUUGAACGCUGGCGGCAGGCCUAACACAUGCAAGUCGAACGGUAACAGGAAGCAGCUUGCUGCUUUGCUGACGAGUGGCGGACGGGUGAGUAAUGUCUGGGAAACUGCCCGAUGGAGGGGGAUAACUACUGGAAACGGUAGCUAAUACCGCAUAAUGUCGCAAGACCAAAGAGGGGGACCUUCGGGCCUCUUGCCAUCGGAUGUGCCCAGAUGGGAUUAGCUUGUUGGUGAGGUAACGGCUCACCAAGGCGACGAUCCCUAGCUGGUCUGAGAGGAUGACCAGCCACACUGGAACUGAGACACGGUCCAGACUCCUACGGGAGGCAGCAGUGGGGAAUAUUGCACAAUGGGCGCAAGCCUGAUGCAGCCAUGCCGCGUGUAUGAAGAAGGCCUUCGGGUUGUAAAGUACUUUCAGCGGGGAGGAAGGGGUUAAGGUUAAUAACCUUAGCCAUUGACGUUACCCGCAGAAGAAGCACCGGCUAACUCCGUGCCAGCAGCCGCGGUAAUACGGAGGGUGCAAGCCUUAAUCGGAAUUACUGGGCGUAAAGCGCACGCAGGCGGUCUGUCAAGUCGGAUGUGAAAUCCCCGGGCUCAACCUGGGAACUGCAUUCGAAACUGGCAGGCUUGAGUCUCGUAGAGGGGGGUAGAAUUCCAGGUGUAGCGGUGAAAUGCGUAGAGAUCUGGAGGAAUACCGGUGGCGAAGGCGGCCCCCUGGACGAAGACUGACGC
RNAcentral lists this ribosomal RNA (749 nucleotides) under uncultured bacterium. RNAcentral describes it as "bacterial SSU rRNA". It matches the Rfam family "Bacterial small subunit ribosomal RNA", at positions 8 to 746 of the family's 1533-position model. The record is from RNAcentral.